Molecule: long non-coding RNA, 714 nt
Organism: Trichosurus vulpecula (common brushtail)
Lineage: Eukaryota; Metazoa; Chordata; Mammalia; Diprotodontia; Phalangeridae
Exons: 3
Source: RefSeq, a predicted model, not a curated record
ACAAGUGAGGAAGAAAGAAAACGAGUGAUCCAGACCACGUGAAGCUGGGCCACAGGAAUGGUAGAAGUGUGGUGUGGGCAAGAGUGAUCUUGCGUCUUGUAGGCCCUGUACAAGGUGCUGUGACAUGUGCUAGUGGGUGACAUGGGCUCACACAAGCAAAGCUGGGACCAGAUAUCAUCCCACUCAUACGAGGGCCACGUGGAAUAAGACCACGUGAGGGCCAUGAUUUGGUGGAGAAAAGAAGAGAGACCCAGGCGGGAGCAGUGUGUAUAAAGGAUCAUGAGUGGAAAAAAAUACAGUGAGCAUGCAGACCAGAGAACAGGAGGUCUUGACUAAGACAAGACCAAAAAGAGGAUUUGAGGGGCAAGGAGUCAGUAGCAUAUGUGGGGAGAAGCCUUAACACAAUUGGCCUCCACAUCCCUUAAGCAGACUUCCAGGAUUGACUGGAGGACAGGUAACAGCAGCCACUCAACCCCAGAGAGAGAGAGAGAGAAAGAGAAGAGAUCUUCCUGUCACCCUAUCAGCUGACAUCCAUCCUCCUCUGGGAAGCUUUUCAGGAUUCCUAGAACACCAACCCUUGAAUUGCCCAGUUCCUGUCUGGGAUAGGAGUACUUGAACUUUACACAUUGCCCAUUUCUGCAUAUUUUUACUAGCUUGGGAGCCCCAUGGGGGCAGGAACUGAGUCUGUGUUGAAUAAAAGCUCUUAGAUCCUGA